RNAcentral lists this long non-coding RNA (3047 nucleotides) under Sus scrofa (pig). Its description in RNAcentral is "lncRNA (ENSSSCG00000052179.1)". Lineage: Eukaryota; Metazoa; Chordata; Mammalia; Artiodactyla; Suidae. The record is from RNAcentral.
CUGGAUGCAAGAGAGCACUGCAGUAAGUGGGUUCAAAUACAGCUUCAUAAACUGAAUUCAAAUAUAACUACCUUCUUUUGCAAGCUACAUAACCUCUUUAGGCUUCAGUUUUCUCAUCUAUACAGUGAAAAUAAUAAACUCUAUGGUUGCCCUGAGGACUAAAUAAGAUACAUCUAUAGAGCAGUUAGCAUAGAGCCUGAUGAAUAUAUGCUAAUAAUAAUGACAACAAUGGCUCAUUCUAUCAUCAAGAAGCCUGCAGACCUAUGGGGGAGGGGAUGGUAAUAAAGAGACACCAUUAGAAACAAUUAUAAUUCAAGAAAGAAAACAUUUGCAUUGGUACAAAUUAAUUCUACUAAUAAUCUCUGAAAAGUUCUCUAAUACAAACAUUUAAGAGUGUUUUCUUUAACAAACAGCAUUGUUUAUAAUAGAUUUUUUUAAAGCAACAAAUGAAAACAGCAAAAAUAUUAAGACAGGAUCAGUUAAUUAAAUUAUGGUGUGCCCACAGAAAGUGAUAGAGUGUGGUUUUUAAAAAUAUGUAGCGAGCUGUUUAAACAUCGAGAAACAGUGUAGCCCUAUUCUUGGCUCUCUCGAAUUUUUCUAAGGCUUUCAGUUUCAUCUUUAACUAAGGAGAAAUAAGCAACGGAAUACCCUGUUUAUUUUUCAAUAUCAUUCAAUAAAGAUACUUAUAUUAAAAAAUGAAGAGGAGGGAUACAUGCUCAGUUAGUAUUUUAAAAUAUUUCAGAUACGUUAUUAAGUGAAAAGAAUAAAGAAAAAAUAGGUGUAACUUAAACUUUCUUGUGAGCAUGAAAACAUAAAAAUAGGCACAUAUAGCAGGUCACAUCUAGUUGGAAGAAUCAGGGACUGUUUUCCAGGGGAUUUGGGCAACUUAAGAUGGAAAAUUUGGGAAGGGAAUUCCAGGCUGAGGAAGAGUAGGCAGGGGGGCUUGGAAUUAAAUAUGCACAGGGAGAGAGAGGCAAACCUAUGCAGAUGCCAGAGGCAACGAAUCGGGAAAGGUGCACAGGUAGCACCAGUUGAGAGUCUCUUGAAGAGUUAGGCUGAUUAUGUAGGACUUUCAAUGGCAGUAAGCACUUGUUACAGAAGUUAUGGAAGACUUAUAGAGAAAGAAUAAUAUGAUGAGAGUUGCACAUUAGAGGUGGCCAUAUGGAGGGGUGUGUAGGGAAGAGUGGAGGCAGCAAAAAAUGAAGUAAUGCAUUUAGGAUGUUACUACAAGUUGCCUGGUUUCCACUUCUCCCAUGUUGAUAAAGCUUCAGUUUUCAUUAUUUUUGAGAAACUUCCAUACACUUUUCCAUAGUGGAAGCACCAAUUUACAUUCCCACCAACAGUGUAGGAGAGUUCCUUUUUCUCCACACUCUCGCCAGAGUUUGUUAUUUGUAGACUUUUGUAGUCACCAUUCUGAGUGGUGUGAGGCUAUAUAACUCAGUGUGGUUUUGAUUUGCAUUUCUCUAAUAAUUAGUGAUGAUGGGCAUCUUUCCAUGUGCCUAGUGGUCAUCUGUAUGUCUUCUUUGUAGAAAGGUACAUGUAGGUCUUCUGCCUAUUUUUUUUUUGAGUGGUUUUUAUUUUUUGAUACUGAGUUAUAUGAGCUGUGUAUAUUUUGUAAAUGAAGCCCUUGUCAGUCAUACCACUUGCAAAUAUUUUCUCCCACUCUGUAAGUUUUUUUCAUUGUAUUUAUGAUUUUUUUUUUUUGAUGUGCAAAAGCUUUUAAGUUUGGUUAGGUCCCAUUUGUUUAUUUUUGCUUUUAUUCCUAUUGCCUUAGGAGACUGAUCUAAGAAAACAUUGGUACAAUUUAUGCCAGAGAAUGUUUUGCUUAUAUUUUCUUUCAGGUGUUUUAUGGUGUCACAUCUUAGAUUUAAGUGCGUAAGCCAUUUUGAACUUAUUUUUUGUGUAUGGUGUGGGGGUGUGUUCUAACUUCAUUGAUUUACAUGUGGCUGUCCAACUUUUCCAACACCAACUGUUAAAGAGGAUGUCUUUCGCCCACUGUGUAUUCUUGCCUCUUUUAUCAAAGAUGAAUUGACCAUAGGUGUGUGGGUUUAUUUUGGGGCUCUCUAUUCUGCCCUAUUGAUCCAUAUUUCUAUUUUUGUGCCAAUACCAAAUUUUGAUUAUUGUAGCUUAGUAGGAUUUUCUGAAAAUUAGGAGGGUUAUGCUUCUUGCUUUGUUAUUUUUCCUUAGGAUUUCUUUGGAAAUGUGGGGCUUUUUUGGUUCCAUAUAAAUAUUAGGAUUAUUUGCUCUAGUUUGGUGAAAAAUAUCAUGGGUAAUUUGAUAGGGAUCACAUUAAAUCUGUAGAUUACUUUGGGUAGUAUGGCCACAAUAUCCUAUGAUAAAACAUAAUGGAGAAUAAUAUGAAAAAGGAUAUAUAGGUAUAACUGAGUCACUUUGCUGUACAACAGAAAUUAAUACAUUGUAAAUCAGCUAUAUUUCAAUAAAAUUUUAAAAAAGAGAAAUAUACAAGAGUACUCUAUUUUUCUUAAUGAGGACUACCCUCAGGGGAAACUAGUUAACUAGAACCUAAGUGAGCUAAGGGAAGGAAAAUACCUAAAUUCAGCUCCUGUUAGCAAUCCUGUGCCACCUAAAGGGGAGAAAAAAACUAAGAAACACAUGUAAAGUUCACAGUCACAGGGAAAGGCUCACUAAAAGCCUGAGAUUUAAUCGUAGGACUAUAGAAUGACCCCUUCCCCCAGGCCUCACCAUCACAUUACUAAAAACCUCUUUACAGCAGACCCUUUUACACAGUAUAUCAUGUCUAGCUAUGAAGAAAACAAUUACAAGGCAUACUAAAAGCAAAUCACAAUUUGAAAAGACAGAGCAAAUGUCAGAACCAGAUAUGGCAGAGAUGCUGGAAUGAUCAAACAAAGAAUUAAAACUAAGAUUGAUAGGCUAAGAGUUCUAAUGGAUAAAGCAGUUAGCAUGCAAGAACAGAGUAAUGUAAGCAGAGAGAUAACAAUGCUAAGAAAGAACUAAAAGGAAAUGCUAGAUGUCUACAUGUAUUUCUCUAGUAAGCAUUCAUUAAAUACUUUCUGUGUUUCCCAGCC